Molecule: ribosomal RNA, 207 nt
Filed under: uncultured bacterium
Lineage: Bacteria
Description: partial 16S ribosomal RNA
Rfam family: Bacterial small subunit ribosomal RNA
Source: RNAcentral
UCUGUAGGUGGUCAAAUAAGUCAACUGUUAAAUCUUGAGGCUCAACCUCAAAAUCGCAGUCGAAACUAUUCGACUAGAGUAUAGUAGGGGUAAAGGGAAUUUCCAGUGGAGCGGUGAAAUGCGUAGAGAUUGGAAAGAACACCGAUGGCGAAGGCACUUUACUGGGCUAUUACUAACACUGAGAGACGAAAGCUAGGGUAGCAAAUG